RNAcentral lists this ribosomal RNA (1156 nucleotides) under Campylobacter coli. RNAcentral's name for it is "partial 23S ribosomal RNA". It matches the Rfam family "Bacterial large subunit ribosomal RNA", at positions 1767 to 2925 of the family's 2925-position model. Lineage: Bacteria; Pseudomonadati; Campylobacterota; Epsilonproteobacteria; Campylobacterales; Campylobacteraceae. RNAcentral also lists the same sequence under 1 other name. The record is from RNAcentral.
GCGAAGAAACUUACAACAAAGAGUCCCUCCCGACUGUUUACCAAAAACACAGCACUCUGCUAACUCGUAAGAGGAUGUAUAGGGUGUGACGCCUGCCCGGUGCUCGAAGGUUAAUUGAUGGGGUUAGCAUUAGCGAAGCUCUUGAUCGAAGCCCGAGUAAACGGCGGCCGUAACUAUAACGGUCCUAAGGUAGCGAAAUUCCUUGUCGGUUAAAUACCGACCUGCAUGAAUGGCGUAACGAGAUGGGAGCUGUCUCAAAGAGGGAUCCAGUGAAAUUGUAGUGGAGGUGAAAAUUCCUCCUACCCGCGGCAAGACGGAGAGACCCCGUGGACCUUUACUACAGCUUGACACUGCUAUUUGGAUAAGAAUGUGCAGGAUAGGUGGGAGGCUUUGAGUAUAUGACGCCAGUUGUAUAUGAGCCAUUGUUGAGAUACCACUCUUUCUUAUUUGGGUAGCUAACCAGCUUGAGUUAUCCUCAAGUGGGACAAUGUCUGGUGGGUAGUUUGACUGGGGCGGUCGCCUCCCAAAUAAUAACGGAGGCUUACAAAGGUUGGCUCAGAACGGUUGGAAAUCGUUCGUAGAGUAUAAAGGUAUAAGCCAGCUUAACUGCAAGACAUACAAGUCAAGCAGAGACGAAAGUCGGUCUUAGUGAUCCGGUGGUUCUGUGUGGAAGGGCCAUCGCUCAAAGGAUAAAAGGUACCCCGGGGAUAACAGGCUGAUCUCCCCCAAGAGCUCACAUCGACGGGGAGGUUUGGCACCUCGAUGUCGGCUCAUCGCAUCCUGGGGCUGGAGCAGGUCCCAAGGGUAUGGCUGUUCGCCAUUUAAAGCGGUACGCGAGCUGGGUUCAGAACGUCGUGAGACAGUUCGGUCCCUAUCUGCCGUGGGCGUAAGAAGAUUGAAGAGAUUUGACCCUAGUACGAGAGGACCGGGUUGAACAAACCACUGGUGUAGCUGUUGUUCUGCCAAGAGCAUCGCAGCGUAGCUAAGUUUGGAAAGGAUAAACGCUGAAAGCAUCUAAGCGUGAAGCCAACUCUAAGAUGAAUCUUCUCUAAGCUCUCUAGAAGACUACUAGUUUGAUAGGCUGGGUGUGUAAUGGAUGAAAGUCCUUUAGCUGACCAGUACUAAUAGAGCGUUUGGCUUAUCUUUAAUAAAGCAU